UUUUAUUCACUUGGCUUUUACAUGUUUGCACUUUUAUCCCUUUUAAAGUAUUCUCCAUCUGAAGCAAUGUAUUAGUCCAGGUGCGUUUUCCACUAUUUGAAGCAGUGUCAGAACUUUUGUGAAGUGAUGCCUUUUAAUGCCUCUGUCAUUUUUUGCUUCACCUCUUCUACAUCUGAAAAUUCUGAAGUGCAAGCUUU
Long non-coding RNA from Octopus sinensis (East Asian common octopus), 197 nucleotides. RefSeq lists it as uncharacterized. The record is from RefSeq and is a predicted model, not a curated record. The transcript has 3 exons. NCBI's taxonomy places the organism in Eukaryota, Metazoa, Mollusca, Cephalopoda, Octopoda, Octopodidae.